AUGCCGCCGCCGCCGCUGCCGACGCUGCCGGACGAGCUUCUCGAGGAGAUCUUCCUCCGCGUCCCACCGGACGAGCCCGAGCACCUGGUGCGCGCCUCGCUCGGCCUCCUCUCCGGCGCUCGCUUCCGCGGCCUCUACCGCGACUUCCAUGGAGCUCCCCCGAUGCUGGGAUUCCUCUACAACUGGCUCUUUUUCGGCGGCCCCAAGGAGGAUGACCCCGUGGCAAACUUCGUCCCCACCGCCAAAUUCGGCGCGCUCGUUCCUGCCGCCGAUGGCUGGGACCGUGAGUACACUCCGUGGGACUGCCGCCAUGGCCGCGUCCUCCUCGGGAACUACACGGGGCUCGUCGUUUGGGACCCCAUGACAGGCCGCCGGAUGAAGCUGGAGGCGCCCGUCAGCUAUGUCGGCGCCGCGGUGCUCUGCGCUGUGAGGGGCUGUGACCACCGUGCGUGUCAUGAGGGCCCCUUCCGGGUUGUCGUCAUCAACCUGGACAUGAAUGAGGAUGAUGGUGAUUGUGUUGCACACGCUUGCGUGUCUUCGCCGGUGACCAACAAGUGGAGCGAGCCGUGCUCUGAUUCUCAUUUUGAUGGAUGGAGCAAGCCGUGCUCUGCUCUUCAUCUUGUUAUGACCGAUCCAUUCAUUGAUUCACUGCCUCCUGUCCUCAUUGACAACGCACUUCACUUCAGGCUUACGUAUGAUGAUGAGCGUGUAGGGAUUCUCAAGUAUGACUUGAGCUCUAAUUGCUUAUCACUGAUUGAUGCGCCGCUUACGAGGCCGGCCAUUUUCUGGCCCGCUAUCCUCAUGGCAAUGGAGGAUGGCAGCUUGGGGUUGGCACACUUGGGUGGGUUAACCCUCUACCUAUGGUCAAGACAGAUGGGUUCCGACGGAGUUGCGUUAUGGACUCGGCGUAAAGUCAUCAGUCUCAAGGAACUUCUCCCCAUUCAAAAUCCCAAGAAAAGAAUUAGCGUUAUUGGGUCUGUGGAAGGCCAUGAUAUCAUUUUCGUGACCACAGAUCUUGGCAUCUACGAGAUUAAUUUGAAGACACUACGGUGGAAGAAGCUAUGGAAGAGAGAAAAUUUCCGCUCUUUGAUUCCAUACAUGAGCUUCUACAAUCGACAAGAAAUGGUGAGGCCCUGCAAGGCAUUGACAACAUAUGGUUGA
RNAcentral lists this ribosomal RNA (1161 nucleotides) under Triticum aestivum (bread wheat). Its description in RNAcentral is "partial small subunit ribosomal RNA". The record is from RNAcentral. Lineage: Eukaryota; Viridiplantae; Streptophyta; Magnoliopsida; Poales; Poaceae.